CGAUGAACCCACUUCGGUGGGGGAUUAGUGGCGAACGGGUGAGUAACACGUGGGCAAUCUGCCCUGCACUCUGGGACAAGCCCUGGAAACGGGGUCUAAUACCGGAUACGACCACUUCAGGCAUCUGAUGGUGGUGGAAAGCUCCGGCGGUGCAGGAUGAGCCCGCGGCCUAUCAGCUUGUUGGUGAGGUAACGGCUCACCAAGGCGACGACGGGUAGCCGGCCUGAGAGGGCGACCGGCCACACUGGGACUGAGACACGGCCCAGACUCCUACGGGAGGCAGCAGUGGGGAAUAUUGCACAAUGGGCGAAAGCCUGAUGCAGCGACGCCGCGUGAGGGAUGACGGCCUUCGGGUUGUAAACCUCUUUCAGCAGGGAAGAAGCGAAAGUGACGGUACCUGCAGAAGAAGCGCCGGCUAACUACGUGCCAGCAGCCGCGGUAAUACGUAGGGCGCAAGCGUUGUCCGGAAUUAUUGGGCGUAAAGAGCUCGUAGGCGGCUUGUCGCGUCGGAUGUGAAAGCCCGGGGCUUAACCCCGGGUCUGCAUUCGAUACGGGCAGGCUAGAGUUCGGUAGGGGAGAUCGGAAUUCCUGGUGUAGCGGUGAAAUGCGCAGAUAUCAGGAGGAACACCGGUGGCGAAGGCGGAUCUCUGGGCCGAUACUGACGCUGAGGAGCGAAAGCGUGGGGAGCGAACAGGAUUAGAUACCCUGGUAGUCCACGCCGUAAACGUUGGGAACUAGGUGUGGGCGACAUUCCACGUCGUCCGUGCCGCAGCUAACGCAUUAAGUUCCCCGCC
This 794-nucleotide ribosomal RNA is filed under the name Streptomyces sp. RNAcentral's name for it is "bacterial SSU rRNA". It matches the Rfam family "Bacterial small subunit ribosomal RNA", at positions 67 to 873 of the family's 1533-position model. Lineage: Bacteria; Bacillati; Actinomycetota; Actinomycetes; Kitasatosporales; Streptomycetaceae. The record is from RNAcentral.